AACUUUUAGCAAUGGAUCUCUUGCCGCAUCGAGCAAUCCCUUUUGAUACCACGCCUGAUAAUUCUGCGGGUUGCUUUGCAGCGCUUUAUCGAGCCACCGAUUUGCCUCGUCCCCGCGCCCCAACUUCGCCAGAGCCCUUGCCAGCGCGGUCAUGGCAUUGUCGAAGUUCGGAUUCAAUUCGAGGCACCGUUGUAGUUCUUUAGCCGCCUUCUCCCACGCCUCGCGGCGCAGCGCCAGUUCACCCAGCAGAUAAGGAAUUACAUAAAUCUGUGGAUCCUUUUGCUGCACUUCGAGGAGCAAGGCUUCACCCUGACUGUCGUCCUUGCGUUGAAAAGCAUCCUCGGCCCGCAGGAUCGCAUUGAAUUCCCAUAGCUUAUCCUUUGGAUCGGCGAGCCCCUGCUUAAGCAUAUCAAUAAGCGGAGGCU
This 425-nucleotide unclassified non-coding RNA is filed under the name uncultured Ascomycota. Its description in RNAcentral is "sequence contains ITS2". Lineage: Eukaryota; Fungi; Ascomycota. The record is from RNAcentral.